Non-coding RNA from Pimephales promelas (fathead minnow), 534 nucleotides. The record is from RefSeq and is a predicted model, not a curated record. Lineage: Eukaryota; Metazoa; Chordata; Actinopteri; Cypriniformes; Leuciscidae.
GAGUGUAGCCAGGCUUAAUAAUGAGAAACACUAUUUAGCCGUCUGACCCAGUCACAAAAGGGUUAACUUUUAUUUCUUCUCUUUGAUGGACAUGUAAGUGAGCCAAUGGGUGAGCUCUGUGAGAUAGUGAGCUGACCAAUCAGCUGCCCGCUAGGCUCUGUUACAGUUACACCUCUAGUUUCGCGUCACUGCACGUUCUUUUGGCGCUUGCACUUGAGCAUAGAAGGCUGCGUUAUCUGCUUGAGUGUAAACGAAAGCUGUGCCUGUAUCCACUGUUGUCACGGAGCUAAAGGCAAUGGAUUCCGUUAAAAUGGUCAGGUUUUGGUAAAGAGUGGGAAACAUCGUGCAGAGGUCCUGGAGAGAUACAGAUCCAGACGUUCCGAACGUUCUUCGAGAGACUCAUUGAUUCCCAGUCCAGGUGGCUGGGUGGCGAGCCAACCGUGUUUGACAACGAAUCAAAUCGCUUUAGAUGAACUGUCCGGAUCAUCCUCUUCAUCUUCUUUGUGGUAGGACAAGCACUAACUCAACCUAAAA